UUCACAGCAAGGCAGAUGGAUGAACCCAAAGUCAAGUAUACCAAAACUAUAUUGCUCCAGAAAGUUUGACAAAGGAAGCUGGAGGCGUGGGAGAGAAGCGAAGGUAAGAAAGGGUGGAAGGAAGGGUGGACAUGAUUGAUGCAU
RNAcentral lists this long non-coding RNA (144 nucleotides) under Fukomys damarensis (Damara mole-rat). RNAcentral's name for it is "lncRNA (ENSFDAG00000024622.1)". The record is from RNAcentral. Lineage: Eukaryota; Metazoa; Chordata; Mammalia; Rodentia; Bathyergidae.